CUGGUCUGCCUCAGGGCUGAAGUCCUCUUUUUAUGCACCGAGUGGGAACAGCACAGGCAGUGACAAAGCUGGUUUUCUUCAAACCACUCCCACAAAUGGGCUCAGGCCAAGAAAAGGGCCCACACCUUUCGGGGAAGAGAACUAUGCAGCCUAUCAUGCCCAUUUAACCUGUGGUUUCA
Propithecus coquereli (Coquerel's sifaka) is the source of this 179-nucleotide unclassified non-coding RNA. NCBI's taxonomy places the organism in Eukaryota, Metazoa, Chordata, Mammalia, Primates, Indriidae. The record is from Ensembl.